This is an RNA transcript of Pyrus x bretschneideri (Chinese white pear), 1886 nucleotides long. It is a transcript of the gene named protein ALP1-like, with no coding region annotated. Lineage: Eukaryota; Viridiplantae; Streptophyta; Magnoliopsida; Rosales; Rosaceae. The record is from RefSeq and is a predicted model, not a curated record. The transcript has a single exon.
CAAGUCUCAGUCAAAAGGCCCCCCACUCCGCGUUCACACCUGCAUACACGCCUCGCACAGAUAUAAAUAUGCCGCCCCUCCAGUUCAACACCUGCAGCCAACAUCUCCAUCUCUACCAGUUCACCUCCAAGCUCGCAAUUCAAGGUUCACACAGGCAUUUCUUCAAACACCUUUCGUCCCACCACCAAAGUUCAGACCUUUCAUGGAAAUUACUCCGUUCCCAUUUCUUAGUCAAGAAGAUGACUCCCAUUUCUAUACCCUGUUGUCCGACAUGGACGAAUUCGACAUAAAUGGCUGGAAUCACAGCCUGAAGAAGCGGAGAAAGGACGAGGGAAACAAUCAUGGUGGCGGCGCUGGAGCUGCUCCUGGGGCAAUGAGCGACAUACUCGCCUCGCUGAUUCUGCUGGACGAGGAGGAGAAGCUGGAGCAGGAGAGGUACUUGGUCGAAGCCCAGGAGGAAAGAUCGAUGCUUGAAGAUAAUCACAGGCGGAAGACUCGAGCUAUGGAGGAGUACUACUCUGAUCUUCAGCAGCACCAUUCUCAAUCCGACGAAUCGGACCUGUCUAGGGCGAAACGGCGUCGACAGUCCGCUUCCGCUGCGGCCGCUGCUGCAGCUGAGGCCUCCGCGGCCGGUCCGGACCCGAGUUCGAGUGCUACGAUCCCGGGUCCGCACCGGAGGCUUUGGGUGAAGGACAGGCCCAAGGUGUGGUGGGAGAAUUUGGGCCGCCCAGACGUUUCGGAGGAGGAGUUUCGAAAAGCUUUUCGGAUGAGCAAGGGGACGUUCGACAUGAUCUGCGCGGAGCUGGAGUCGGCGGUUUUUAAGAAGAACACAAUGCUGCGCGAGGCAAUUCCGGUGCGCCAACGCGUGGCGGUGUGCAUAUAUCGGCUUGCCACCGGGGAGCCGCUCCGGGAGGUUUCGAGACGUUUCGGGCUGGGAAUCUCCACCUGCCACAAGCUGGUUCUGGAAGUUUGCGUUGCCAUCAAGACUGUCUUGAUGCACAAGUUUCUCCAGUGGCCGGACGAGGGCAGGAUGCAGGAAAUCAAGGAGGAGUUCGAGGCCACUUCCGGAAUUCCAAAUAUUGCUGGGUCUAUGUACACCACCCACAUAUCAAUUAUUGCUCCAAAGGUGAAUGUGGCUGCGUAUUUCAACAAGCGGCACACGGAACGCAACCAGAAAACUUCGUAUUCGGUCACGGUUCAAGGGGUUGUCGAUCCGAGAGGCGUUUUCACCGACGUUUGCAUAGGCUGGCCGGGUUCGAUGCCGGACGAUCAGGUGCUGGAGAAGUCUGCCUUGUUCCAGAGAGCAAACAGAGGACUCUUGAAGGAUGUGUGGAUUGUGGGAAAUGCUGGGUUCCACUGAUGGAUUGGGUGCUGGUUCCUUACACCCACCAGAACUUGACGUGGACCCAGCACGCAUUCAAUGAGAAAAUCGGAGAAGUGGAAAGGGUGGCUAAAGAUGCAUUUGCAAAGCUCAAAGGGAGGUGGUCUUGCUUGCAGAAGAGGACUGAGAUCAAGCUGCAGGACUUGCCUGUUGUGCUUGGGGCUUGCUGUGUUUUGCACAAUAUUUGUGCAAUGAGGAAUGAUGAGCUCGAUCCCGAGUUCGAGUUCGAGCUCUUCGACGAUGUGGCAACGCCGGCAAAUAGUCUGAGGUCGGCGGGAUCGGUGCAGGCGAGGGAUCAUAUUGCUCAUAAUUUGUUGCACCAUGGCCUUGCCGCAGGCACCGGUUCUGGUUUUCUAUAGGGGGGUUUUGAGUUCGGCUUUUGUUCUAGUCAUAUUAUAGAGUAAAAGAUGAUAUAUAUUUGGCUUUGUUUAGCUUUGUGUAUAUAAGCAUUUACCCACCUUCUAUCUAUUUAUCUAUUCUAAAUAUACUUCCUUCUUUUUUGCUA